Molecule: ribosomal RNA, 495 nt
Filed under: uncultured bacterium
Lineage: Bacteria
Description: partial 16S ribosomal RNA
Rfam family: Bacterial small subunit ribosomal RNA
Source: RNAcentral
GAUGAACGCUGGCGGCGUGCCUAAUACAUGCAAGUCGAGCGAACAGAUGAGGAGCUUGCUCCUCUAACGUUAGCGGCGGACGGGUGAGUAACACGUGGAUAACCUACCUAUAAGACUGGGAUAACUUCGGGAAACCGGAGCUAAUACCGGAUAAUAUAUUGAACCGCAUGGUUCAAUAGUGAAAGACGGUUUUGCUGUCACUUAUAGAUGGAUCCGCGCCGCAUUAGCUAGUUGGUAAGGUAACGGCUUACCAAGGCAACGAUGCGUAGCCGACCUGAGAGGGUGAUCGGCCACACUGGAACUGAGACACGGUCCAGACUCCUACGGGAGGCAGCAGUAGGGAAUCUUCCGCAAUGGGCGAAAGCCUGACGGAGCAACGCCGCGUGAGUGAUGAAGGUCUUCGGAUCGUAAAACUCUGUUAUUAGGGAAGAACAAAUGUGUAAGUAACUAUGCACGUCUUGACGGUACCUAAUCAGAAAGCCACGGCUAACUACG